AGUGAACGCUGGCGGUAUGCCUAACACAUGCAAGUCGAACGGCAGCACAGUAAGCUCUUGCUCUUACUGGUGGCGAGUGGCGGACGGGUGAGGAAUACAUCGCAAUCUACUUUUUCUUGGGUGAUAUCGUAGGGAAACUUACGCUAAUACCUCAUACUACCUACGGGUGAAAUCAGGGGAUCUUCGCACCUUUCGUGAUUGUAUGAGCCGAUGUCGGAUUAGCUAGUUGGCGGGGUAAAGGCCCACCAAGGCAACGAUCCGUAGCUGGUCUGAGAGGAUGAUCAGCCACACUGGAACUGAGACACGGUCCAGACUCCUACGGGAGGCAGCAGUGGGGAAUAUUGGACAAUGGGCGAAAGCCUGAUCCAGCAAUACCGCGUGAGUGAAGAAGGCCUUCGGGUUGUAAAGCCCUGUUGUUAGGAAAGAAAAGAAGCAGGAUAAAACCCCGAUGUUCUGACGGUACCCAAAGAAAAAGCACCGGCUAACUUCGUG
Molecule: ribosomal RNA, 492 nt
Filed under: uncultured bacterium
Lineage: Bacteria
Description: partial 16S ribosomal RNA
Rfam family: Bacterial small subunit ribosomal RNA
Source: RNAcentral